GGCUAACUCCGUGCCAGCAGCCGCGGUAAUACGGGGGGUGCAAGCGUUACUCGGAAUCACUGGGCGUAAAGGACGCGUAGGCGGAUUAUCAAGUCUUUUGUGAAAUCUAGUGGCUUAACCACUAAACUGCUUAGGAAACUGAUAGUCUAGAGUAGGGGAGAGGUAGAUGGAAUUCUUGGUGUAGGGGUAAAAUCCGUAGAGAUCAAGAAGAAUACCCAUUGCGAAAGCGAUCUGCUGGAACCUAACUGACGCUGAGGCGUGAAAGCGUGGGUAGCAAACAGGAUUAGAUACCCUGGUAGUCCACGCCCUAAACGAUGUAUACUAGUUGUUGCUUUGCUAGUCAAGGCAGUAAUGCAGCUAACGCAUUAAGUAUACCGCCUGGGGAGUACGGUCGCAAGAUUAAAACUCAAAGGAAUAGACGGGGACCCGCACAAGCGGUGGAGCAUGUGGUUUAAUUCGAAGAUACGCGAAGAACCUUACCUGGACUUGACAUCCUAAAAACAUCUAAGAGAUUAGAAAGUGCUAGUUUACUAGAAUUUAGUGACAGGUGCUGCACGGCUGUCGUCAGCUCGUGUCGUGAGAUGUUGGGUUAAGUCCCGCAACGAGCGCAACCCACGUGUUUAGUUGCUAACAGCUCGGCUGAGCACUCUAAACAGAC
This 658-nucleotide ribosomal RNA is filed under the name Campylobacter ureolyticus. RNAcentral describes it as "bacterial SSU rRNA". It matches the Rfam family "Bacterial small subunit ribosomal RNA", at positions 495 to 1149 of the family's 1533-position model. The record is from RNAcentral. Lineage: Bacteria; Pseudomonadati; Campylobacterota; Epsilonproteobacteria; Campylobacterales; Campylobacteraceae.